ACGGCUCAGUAACACGUAGUUAAUCUGUCCUAAGGUCAGGGAUAAUCUCGGGAAACUGAGUGUAAUACCUGAUAGAAAAUAUACUCUGGAAUGAUAUAUAUUUGAAACUCGAGCCUUAGGGUGAGACUGCGGCUGAUUAGGUUGUUGGCGGGGUAACUGCCCACCAAGCCGAUGAUCAGUAAGGGCUCUUAGCGGAGAAGCCCUGAGAGGGAAUCUGAGACACUAUUCCCAGCCCUACGGGGUGCAGCAGUUAGGAAUCAUUUGCAAUGCGCGAAAGCGUGACAAUUUGAACCAGAGUGCUUCUCGCUUGAGAAGCUUUUGCCAAAUGUAAAAAGUUUGGCGAAUAAGGACUGGGUAAGACGAGUGCCAGCCGCCGCGGUAAUACUCGCGGUCCAAGUCGCAGCCAUCUUUAUUGGGUCUAAAACAUCCAUAGCUUGCUUGAUAAGUUCCUUGUGAAAUCUUAUCUCUCAAAGAUAGGGCGUGCAAGGAAUACUGUCAUGCUAGAGACCGGCAGACGCAGAAAGUACGUUCGAAGUAGCGGUAAAAUGUGUUAAUCCCGGACGGACUAACAACAGCGAAGGCAUUCUGCGAGGACGGUUCUGACUGUCAGGGAUGAAGGCUAGGGGCGCAAAACGGAUUAGAUACCCGUGUAGUCCUAGCAGUAAACACUGUACACUAAACAUUAGUACCUCCUCGAGAGGUAUUGGUGCUGCAGCGAAGGCGAAGAGUGUACUACCUGGGAAGUAUAGUCGCAAGGCCGAAACUUAAAGGAAUUGGCGGGGGAGCAC
This 788-nucleotide ribosomal RNA is filed under the name uncultured archaeon. Its description in RNAcentral is "bacterial SSU rRNA". It matches the Rfam family "Archaeal small subunit ribosomal RNA", at positions 85 to 879 of the family's 1478-position model. The record is from RNAcentral.